RNAcentral lists this ribosomal RNA (279 nucleotides) under uncultured bacterium. Its description in RNAcentral is "partial 16S ribosomal RNA". It matches the Rfam family "Bacterial small subunit ribosomal RNA", at positions 506 to 784 of the family's 1533-position model. The record is from RNAcentral.
UGCCAGCCGCCGCGGUAAUACAUAGGCUCCAAGCGUUGUUCGGAAUUAUUGGGCGUAAAGGGCGCGCAGGCGGUCUUGUCCGUCAGGUGUGAAAGCUCGGGGCUCAACCCCGGAAGUGCACUUGAAACAGCAAGACUUGAAUACGGUAGAGGAGAGAGGAAUUCCUGGUGUAGCGGUGAAAUGCGUAGAGAUCUGAAGGAACAUCAGUGGCGAAGGCGACGCUCUGGCCCGUAACUGACGCUCAUGCACGAAAGCCAGGGGAGCGAACGGGAUUAGAUA